Molecule: transfer RNA, 86 nt
Filed under: Candidatus Aenigmatarchaeota archaeon
Lineage: Archaea; Nanobdellati; Candidatus Aenigmatarchaeota
Description: tRNA-Leu
Rfam family: tRNA
About the family: Transfer RNA (tRNA) molecules are approximately 80 nucleotides in length. Their secondary structure includes four short double-helical elements and three loops (D, anti-codon, and T loops).
Source: RNAcentral
GCGGGGGUCGGAUAGCCCGGUCAAUUCCACUGGAUUGAGGUUCCAGUUCCUUAGUGGAUACGGGGGUUCAAAUCCCCCCUCCCGCA